RNAcentral lists this unclassified non-coding RNA (209 nucleotides) under Hevea brasiliensis (rubber tree). Lineage: Eukaryota; Viridiplantae; Streptophyta; Magnoliopsida; Malpighiales; Euphorbiaceae. The record is from RNAcentral.
GAAUAGAUUUUUAUGUGGGUGUCAACGGAGAUCCGAAGAAAUAGUCCGAAACUCGGCCAUACCCGUUGCACAGUUCGAGAUCUUGUCGGUUUUAAUCCACGAUCUUUACGUCACUGAUUCCCUCGCUAGAAUUAAUACUGCCUCUCAUUCCUAGGAGAUCCGAUCCCGGCUCUGUUGAUCGAGAUGGCGAAGAAGGCGGUGAUCUGUGC